GCUCCUGUAGCCCAAUCGGCAGAGGCGGCGGUUUCAGGAACCGUUGGUUGGGGGUUCGAAUCCCUCCAGGAGUA
This 74-nucleotide transfer RNA is filed under the name Nocardia flavorosea. RNAcentral describes it as "tRNA-Leu". It matches the Rfam family "tRNA". From Rfam's summary of the family: Transfer RNA (tRNA) molecules are approximately 80 nucleotides in length. The record is from RNAcentral. Lineage: Bacteria; Bacillati; Actinomycetota; Actinomycetes; Mycobacteriales; Nocardiaceae.